GACGAACGCUGGCGGCGUGCUUAACACAUGCAAGUCGAACGGAAAGGCCCUUCGGGGUACUCGAGUGGCGAACGGGUGAGUAACACGUGGGUGAUCUGCCCUGCACUUUGGGAUAAGCCUGGGAAACUGGGUCUAAUACCGAAUAGGACCACGCGCUUCAUGGUGUGUGGUGGAAAGCUUUUGCGGUGUGGGAUGGGCCCGCGGCCUAUCAGCUUGUUGGUGGGGUAAUGGCCUACCAAGGCGACGACGGGUAGCCGGCCUGAGAGGGUGACCGGCCACACUGGGACUGAGAUACGGCCCAGACUCCUACGGGAGGCAGCAGUGGGGAAUAUUGCACAAUGGGCGGAAGCCUGAUGCAGCGACGCCGCGUGAGGGAUGACGGCCUUCGGGUUGUAAACCUCUUUCAAUAGGGACGAAGCGCAAGUGACGGUACCUAUAGAAGAAGCACCGGCCAACUACGUG
RNAcentral lists this ribosomal RNA (462 nucleotides) under uncultured bacterium. RNAcentral describes it as "partial 16S ribosomal RNA". It matches the Rfam family "Bacterial small subunit ribosomal RNA", at positions 28 to 507 of the family's 1533-position model. The record is from RNAcentral.